This 369-nucleotide ribosomal RNA is filed under the name uncultured bacterium. RNAcentral describes it as "bacterial SSU rRNA". It matches the Rfam family "Bacterial small subunit ribosomal RNA", at positions 144 to 507 of the family's 1533-position model. The record is from RNAcentral.
UAACGUAGACGAAAGUUACGCUAAUACCGCAUAUUCUGUGAGCAGGAAAGCAGGGGAUCGCAAGACCUUGCGCUGAUUGAGCGGCCGAUAUCAGAUUAGCUAGUUGGUGAGGUAAAGGCUCACCAAGGCGACGAUCUGUAGCGGGUCUGAGAGGAUGAUCCGCCACACUGGAACUGAGACACGGUCCAGACUCCUACGGGAGGCAGCAGUGGGGAAUUUUGGAGAAUGGGCGCAAGCCUGAUCCAGCCAUGCCGCGUGAGUGAAGAAGGCCUUCGGGUUGUAAAGCUCUUUCAGCCGGGAAGAAAACGCAUGGGUUAAUACCCUGUGUGGAUGACGGUACCGGAAUAAGAAGCACCGGCUAACUACGUG